AUGAUAGCAUGCAGAUCUGGCUUGCGGGAUUCAAAGAUGAAUUUGUUUCGGACCUUCCAUAAGCUCCACAAGACGCCAGCUAUUAACUCCACCGUUGGUGCUUUCUCUCUUUCUUGCAUGACUUCCAUUACCUAUUUAUCAAUCCUUGAAAUUUCAUUACUGGAGAUGCUGAUAUUGAGUCGCGGGUCUGCCCAUAUGUCGUUUGUCCAGCUACGAAGAAGGAAUAGGUGUUCCGUGGUUUUCGGGCAUUGAUGACAGAAGGGACAGAGGGGGUCAGGGUGUUUAGUUUCCAAAUGUUAAUCCAAAGAGAUUUGGGAAUUUGGUAAGAUUGAGGAAGCUUGAUUGGGGUUCUGUUGUUGUAUUGCUGGUUGCAUGCUGUGGUAGGCCUCUUUGACUGUGUAUUGUCCUGUUUUACUCCCAGCCCAUAUAAGUGAACCUUCCUUUGGAUUUGUGCUCA
Rhodamnia argentea is the source of this 457-nucleotide long non-coding RNA. RefSeq lists it as uncharacterized. The record is from RefSeq and is a predicted model, not a curated record. NCBI's taxonomy places the organism in Eukaryota, Viridiplantae, Streptophyta, Magnoliopsida, Myrtales, Myrtaceae. The transcript is spliced from 2 exons.